Long non-coding RNA from Hippoglossus stenolepis (Pacific halibut), 818 nucleotides. RefSeq lists it as uncharacterized. The transcript has 3 exons. NCBI's taxonomy places the organism in Eukaryota, Metazoa, Chordata, Actinopteri, Pleuronectiformes, Pleuronectidae. The record is from RefSeq and is a predicted model, not a curated record.
GCCACAUCACACCACAUGCUCUCCUGUUCGCUCCCUUUCUUUCCCUCUCUCUCUUUCUCUCUCCCUCGUCCAUCAGCUCUCUGCUCUCUCAUUCGCUCAGCCGGCUCGUCACCGGCUGUCAGUUCAUUUGCCGCGGCAGAGCAACAACUGGCUUCUUUCAGUGCUCGGAGCGGAGAGGGAAAGGCGAAAGCAGCAGGAGGAGUGAAAAAAGAAAAAGUGGAGGAGGACGAGCAGAAGGAGAAGAAGGGAAGAAGAGGAGGAGGAGAUCUUUUGUUAAGCAUUCAUCCCUCCCCUCAUCUCUCUCUGGCAUCAGCAGCAUCAGCACCACUGCCUCCUCCACCACUGCUGCUGCUCCCGCUGCUGGAUCCUCCAUCUCCUGCCAGGAUCUGCCUCCUCUUUCUCCUCAGGGAGCUCUUCCUGGAACUGGGAGGGGGAGGGAGAUCACCACCUCCCAGUUUGCCGCGGACUCUCGGCAAGGCAUCAGGAGAAGGGAAGGAAGAAAGGGAGGAUGGAAGGAAGGGGAGGGAAUUUUAGAAGAGGUGCAUAGGGAGAGCAGAGGAGAGGCAACACCCUGGGUUACAGAAGAGCAGAGCGGAGAAGAAGAAAAGAGGGGCCCGGGCAGGAGCGGUGGCAGGGAACUGAAUCUCACCGAUGGAUGACGACUUCCAGGAGACAGGGGCGGUGCUGGCAGGCCCUGGCAUAGAGGAGCCAUUGAUGGAGCCUUGCCUCACGCUGCAGCAAGGCAUCUUCAAUCAAUGCGACUGCCCCCCUUUCUCUAUCUUUGUGUGUGUCUGUUUGCCACUGGAGGCUGAAGGGAG